UGCGCCUGCGGCGGACCCGGCACGAGAUCACGAAAAUGCUUCGCAGGCAGCUGUUUCGUGUACGGUCUGGUACAUCCCGUAAUUUUACGGGAUUUAACAUCUUC
This 104-nucleotide small RNA is filed under the name bovine gut metagenome. RNAcentral describes it as "RT-5 RNA". It matches the Rfam family "RT-5 RNA". Rfam says of the family: Clostridium (Firmicutes). The record is from RNAcentral.